CUAAACACCACAUAAUUUAUAAACAAAUCAUUUUUCCCCUCUAGUAUGGGCGACAGAAAAAGGUAUAAGCGCCAUAGAAUAAGUACCGCAAGGGAAAGCUGAAAGAGAACUGAAAUAAUCCAUCAAGUUAAGAGUAGCAGAGAUUAAACCUCGUACCUUUUGCAUCAUGAUUUAGCCAGUGUAAAUCAAGCAAAAUGCACUUUAGUUUGACAACCCGAAACUAAGUGAGCUACUUCAAGGCAGCCUAAAUUAUAGGGCAAACCCGUCUCUGUGGCAAAAGAGUGGGAAGACCUUCAAGUAGAGGCGACAAACCUACCGAACUUAGUAAUAGCUGGUUGCCUGGGAAUUGAAUAGGAGUUCAGCCUCCCAGCUUCUUUAUUCCACUACUUCAUUUUUUAACCUCUAUGAUGAUAAGAAUACUGAGAGAGUUAGUCAAAGAAGGUACAGCUUCUUUGACAUAAGACACAACUUUUACAGGAGGGUAAAGAUCAUAAUUUAAACAAGGAUAACAUCACCGUGGGCUUAAAAGCAGCCAUCAGAACAAAAAGCGUCAAAGCUUAAAUCUUUUCUACACCCUUUAAUUAUGACUAGAUAAUCUUAACCCCCUAGUUCUACCAAGCUAUUCCAUGCAAACAUGGAAGAAACUAUGCUAAUAUGAGUAAUAAGAGAGAUUAUACCUCUCUCCCUGCACACGUGUAAAUCAGAAUGGAUAACCCACUGAAUAUUAACGGCCUCACUAAAAGAGGGCACUAAGUAACAUAAUAAAAGACAAGAAAACCACUUAAUUACAACCGUUAACCCCACACAGGAGUGCUUACUGGGAAAGACUAAAAGAAAGAGAAGGAACUCGGCAAACACCAAAGCCUCGCCUGUUUACCAAAAACAUCGCCUCUUGUAACCUAAAGUUAAGAGGUCCCGCCUGCCCUGUGACAUUAAGUUUAACGGCCGCGGUAUUUUGACCGUGCAAAGGUAGCGAAAUCACUUGUCUCUUAAAUAGGGACCUGUAUGAAUGGCAUAACGAGGGCUUAACUGUCUCCUUUUUCAGGUCAAUGAACUUGAUCCCCCCGUGCAGAAGCGGGGAUACGCACAUAAGACGAGAAGACCCUAUGGAGCUUUAGACACAAAGGCAGACCCUGUACAGCAUCCCUUAUAAAGGAACGAAACCGGGAGUUCAGCUGCCCAAUGUCUUUGGUUGGGGCGACCGCGGAAGACAACAUAACCUCCGCGUGGAAUGGGAGCACCCUCCCAGAACCAAGAGCUACAGCUCUAAGUAACAGAACUUUUGACCAUGAAGAUCCGGCAAAGCCGAUCAACGAACCGAGUUACCCUAGGGAUAACAGCGCAAUCCUCUUACAGAGCCCUUAUCGACAAGGGGGUUUACGACCUCGAUGUUGGAUCAGGACAUCCUAAUGGUGCAGCCGCUAUUAAAGGUUCGUUUGUUCAACG
RNAcentral lists this ribosomal RNA (1446 nucleotides) under Luzonichthys waitei. Its description in RNAcentral is "partial 16S ribosomal RNA". It matches the Rfam family "Bacterial large subunit ribosomal RNA", at positions 202 to 2586 of the family's 2925-position model. Lineage: Eukaryota; Metazoa; Chordata; Actinopteri; Perciformes; Anthiadidae. The record is from RNAcentral.